RNAcentral lists this transfer RNA (73 nucleotides) under Salmo salar (Atlantic salmon). It matches the Rfam family "tRNA". Rfam says of the family: Transfer RNA (tRNA) molecules are approximately 80 nucleotides in length. Their secondary structure includes four short double-helical elements and three loops (D, anti-codon, and T loops). Further hydrogen bonds mediate the characteristic L-shaped molecular structure. tRNAs have two regions of fundamental functional importance: the anti-codon, which is responsible for specific mRNA codon recognition, and the 3' end, to which the tRNAs corresponding amino acid is attached (by aminoacyl-tRNA synthetases). tRNAs cope with the degeneracy of the genetic code in two manners: having more than one tRNA (with a specific anti-codon) for a particular amino acid; and 'wobble' base-pairing, i.e. permitting non-standard base-pairing at the 3rd anti-codon position. Lineage: Eukaryota; Metazoa; Chordata; Actinopteri; Salmoniformes; Salmonidae. The record is from Rfam by way of RNAcentral.
GCACAUGUGGCUCAGUUGGUAGAGCAUGGUGUUUGCAACGCCAGGGUUGUGGGUUUGAUUCCCACGGGGGGCC